ACAGCAGUAGCCGCGGGAAUACGUAGGGUGCAAGCGUUAAUCGGAAUUACUGGGCGUAAAGCGUGCGCAGGCGGUUCUAUAAGACAGAUGUGAAAUCCCCGGGCUCAACCUGGGAAUGGCGCUUGUGACUGCAAAGCUAGAGUGCGGCAGAGGGGGAUGGAAUUCCGCGUGUAGCAGUGAAACGCGUAGAUAUGCGGAGGAACACCGAUGGCGAAGGCAAUCCCCUGGGCCUGCACUGACGCUCAUGCACGAAAGCGUGGGGAGCAAACAGGAUUAGAGACCCCCGUAGUCCCUGUCUCUUAUAC
RNAcentral lists this ribosomal RNA (305 nucleotides) under uncultured bacterium. RNAcentral describes it as "partial 16S ribosomal RNA". It matches the Rfam family "Bacterial small subunit ribosomal RNA", at positions 506 to 807 of the family's 1533-position model. The record is from RNAcentral.